RNAcentral lists this small nuclear RNA (101 nucleotides) under Glycine max (soybean). RNAcentral describes it as "snRNA U1". Lineage: Eukaryota; Viridiplantae; Streptophyta; Magnoliopsida; Fabales; Fabaceae. The record is from RNAcentral.
AUACGUACGGGUCAACGGGCUAACAAGAAGGCCCGUGGCCUAGUAGGAGAUCCUAGGUGAUAAUUUUUUGGCAGUGGGAGCCUGUGUUCGUGCAGCUCCCU